CAAAAGGCUCUUUUCAGAACCAAUUUUUUUAAAAAAAAUUUUCUCU
Molecule: non-coding RNA, 46 nt
Organism: Stegodyphus mimosarum
Lineage: Eukaryota; Metazoa; Arthropoda; Arachnida; Araneae; Eresidae
Source: Rfam